This 644-nucleotide ribosomal RNA is filed under the name uncultured bacterium. RNAcentral describes it as "bacterial SSU rRNA". It matches the Rfam family "Bacterial small subunit ribosomal RNA", at positions 61 to 749 of the family's 1533-position model. The record is from RNAcentral.
GUCGAGCGGGCGUAGCAAUACGUCAGCGGCAGACGGGUGAGUAACGCGUGGGAACGUACCUUUUGGUUCGGAACAACACAGGGAAACUUGUGCUAAUACCGGAUAAGCCCUUACGGGGAAAGAUUUAUCGCCGAAAGAUCGGCCCGCGUCUGAUUAGCUAGUUGGUGAGGUAACGGCUCACCAAGGCGACGAUCAGUAGCUGGUCUGAGAGGAUGAUCAGCCACAUUGGGACUGAGACACGGCCCAAACUCCUACGGGAGGCAGCAGUGGGGAAUAUUGGACAAUGGGCGCAAGCCUGAUCCAGCCAUGCCGCGUGAGUGAUGAAGGCCCUAGGGUUGUAAAGCUCUUUUGUGCGGGAAGAUAAUGACGGUACCGCAAGAAUAAGCCCCGGCUAACUUCGUGCCAGCAGCCGCGGUAAUACGAAGGGGGCUAGCGUUGCUCGGAAUCACUGGGCGUAAAGGGUGCGUAGGCGGGUCUUUAAGUCAGGGGUGAAAUCCUGGAGCUCAACUCCAGAACUGCCUUUGAUACUGAGGAUCUUGAGUUCGGGAGAGGUGAGUGGAACUGCGAGUGUAGAGGUGAAAUUCGUAGAUAUUCGCAAGAACACCAGUGGCGAAGGCGGCUCACUGGCCCGAUACUGACGCUGA